RNAcentral lists this long non-coding RNA (677 nucleotides) under Mytilus galloprovincialis (Mediterranean mussel). Lineage: Eukaryota; Metazoa; Mollusca; Bivalvia; Mytilida; Mytilidae. The record is from RNAcentral.
AUAAUAUUAGAUUAUUACAUGGCAUUUUUCAUAUCGCAUGUAUUAUCAGCCCUAGGUCCAAUAUCAGCCCAAGAGCCGCAUGGCUCGAGGGCUGAUAUUGACCGAGGGCUGAUAAUACAUGCGAUAUGAAAAAUGGCAUGUUAUGAUCUUUUUAUCAUUAUGCUUCAACAAUGGAGAAAAAUAACAUAUUCAUAUAUUGAUCCUUUUUCGUGGUUCACAAAUAGAAGUUCAAAGAGUGAAAAGUUCACGGACGUCGGGCCCCAAAUUAAGUAUAUUCAAUAUGAAAUCUUUCUACCAUAUGCCUCAACAGAGAAGAAAAAUAUUUUAAUAUGGACGAAUCGACAAAAGAAAAACAUAAUUCAACAAUAUAUAUAAUGAACACUGUUGGAAAAAGUCAACUUUUUUUUUAAAGUAACUUUCUAAAUUAUGUUUGAAACUUUCUAAAAAAUCCAUUUUUUUGGGGUUUUUUUUUAGUUUUUUUUUAUAAUUAUUUUUAACAAUAUACUUUCCAGUAUCUAAAUAAUUGUUUUGUACACUACUUUGUAAAUGAUAUUUUUAACCGAAAACGUAGCAUUGAGGUGUAUUUUCCGGAAUUUGCGAGUAUCACGAAUGCCAUGCGAUAACGUUACGGAAAGGCAUGUGAUAACAAUUGAAGCAUGUGAUAAACUUUUCAUAUC